This 250-nucleotide ribosomal RNA is filed under the name uncultured prokaryote. RNAcentral's name for it is "partial 16S ribosomal RNA". It matches the Rfam family "Bacterial small subunit ribosomal RNA", at positions 524 to 773 of the family's 1533-position model. The record is from RNAcentral.
UACAGAGGGUGCAAGCGUUGUUCGGAAUUACUGGGCGUAAAGAGCGCGUAGGCGGUACACUUAGUCAGGAGUUAAAGACCCGGGCUUAACCUGGGGGAGGCUUCUGAAACGGGUGAACUAGAGUGCAGAAGGGGAGAAUGGAAUUUCCGGUGUAGAGGUAAAAUUCGUAGAUAUCGGAAGGAACACCAGUGGCGAAGGCGAUUCUCUGGGCUGCAACUGACGCUGAGGUGCGAAAGUGUGGGGAGCAAAC